GCCGCGACGAGCUUCCCAAUGGCGGCGGCCACCUCUCUCCGUCUGACGCCACUCUCUUCUCUCCGGUUCCUCUCCUUCUUCCCCAAAUCUAAUACGUGGGAAGUAACUUUGGAGAAUUUAGGAGGAAGUUGAGAAUUGGGGACAUAAAGGGAGGAUCCGACGAAGGAUUGGGUCGGGUCGGCAGACCCUGAGCGUAAUAGGUUGGGUGCGGGAUCUCCGGGCUCAGAGCAGCGUCACCUUCAUUGAGGUAAUCCCUCAACCUUGAAUUCUUGCUUCACAACUGUUCGGAUAAAUGACGGUUCAUGCCUCUCAAACAUGCAAUGUGUGAUGAACUCGGAUGCACAAGGGUAUGAUCAGGUAAAUCCAUUCACCUUUGAAUGAUUCUAACAUUCCAUAUUGAUCCUAGGAAAGUGUUUCUCUCACUCUUCAGUUUUAUGCUUUAAAGACUCUUUACCUUAUCACAUAGGAAGUGAAAGCUUUUUAGAUCAAACGGAUUUAGUGCGGAUGCGACAAUAAGAUUCUUACCACCCAUCUUUUUGCCCAAUUCUAAAUGUUGUUCGCAAUUUGCUUCAGACCUGAGAGUCCUUAGCUUUUGAUAUCAAUUCAAUGAUUCCUAAUCCUGGGGGGUUGCCAAAUUCCUUAGCUGAAUAAUCGGUACAAUAAAAAGCGUCAUCUUGAGGGAGGCUUCCCUCCAUAUCGAUGGUAGAAAUGGGUCUUGAAUUUCUUUGUCUUUCUGUUUUGUUUGAUUUUGUUAGCCUAUAUCACUUAGGGGCUGAGAAUUCAUCAAUUUUUCAUGUAUGAUUCAAUGUGUGUGCAAGGUUGUAAUUUUUAAUCCUCGGUUUCUACCAUAUUCAUGAGCUGAACAAUAGCUAGAAUCUGGUAUGGUCUUGACCGGUGCUUCCAUAUCAGUACAAGGGACUCUUGUGGCUAGCCAGGGAUCAAAACAAAAGGUGGAACUAAAGGCCGAGAAGAUUGUUGUGGGCUUGUGGCAUGUGCUUGCUUUUCAAUAUUGGCAAAUGCGAUGCUUCGUAUCUGAUUCAGAAGAAACGAAUUAGCAGAGAAUUCUUGAGAACCAAGGCUCAUUUGCGUCAAGAACAAACACUUUUGGGGCGGUCGCAAGAGUUAGGAAUGCUUUGGCGUAUUCUACACACUUGUUCUUUCAGGGAAACGGGUUCAUCUGGGUGUCGAGUCCGAUCAUCACAGCUUCGGACUGUGAAGGAGCAGAGUUUAGGGUUUAGGGUGUAAUAUCACAAAUCGAGUUAGGGACAUUGUCCCAUUUGAAUCAAAACAACCUGGAUGUGUUAUUCUUCUGUUCAAUAUCACUCCAAAGCUCACAAAUCAAAACAAAUCCCGUUCCUGA
Molecule: RNA transcript, 1360 nt
Organism: Tarenaya hassleriana
Lineage: Eukaryota; Viridiplantae; Streptophyta; Magnoliopsida; Brassicales; Cleomaceae
Gene name: asparagine--tRNA ligase, chloroplastic/mitochondrial-like
Exons: 3
Source: RefSeq, a predicted model, not a curated record